ACCAAAAAUUUAGCCCAUAUUAUCUUAUGAAAAACAUAAACCUUAUCAUUUUAAUUAAAACAUUUUAUAAAUUUAGUAAAGGAGAUUAAAAAAUUAAUUGGAGCAACAAAAAUAGUACCGCAAGGGAAAAAUGAAAUAAAAAUGAAAUAAAUUUUAAGUACAAAAAAGUAGAGAAUUAACCUCGUACCUUUUGCAUCAUGGUUUAACUAGUUAAACUAAGCAAAAUGAUUUACAGUUUUUCUUCCCGAAACUAAGUGAGCUACUUCUGGGCAGCUAAAUGAGCAAACCCGUCUCUGUUGUAAAAGAGUGGAAAGACCCACAAGUAGAGGUGAUAGACCUAACGAACCUAGUGAUAGCUGGUUACUCAAAAAAAGAAUUUUAGUUCAACCUAAAGUUUUAUUAUAACUUUAAAUAUAACCUUGACUUUAGAGCAAUUCAAAUAAGGUACAGCCUAUUUGAAACAGGGUACAACCUAUUCUAUUGGGUAAACUAAUGUUACAUUUAACAAAGUGGGCCUAAAAGCAGCCACCUCUUAAAUAGCGUCAUAGCUUAAUUUUAUAAACACAAAAUUCCUUAAAUAAAAAUGAACCCAUUAACUUUAUUGAGUAAUUCUAUAUUAUUAUAGAUAUAUAUUAUGUUAAAACUAGUAACAAGAAGAAGACCUUCUCUUUAAUGUAAGUGUAAAUCAGAUAGGACAAACCACUGAUAAUUAACAUUUAUGAUAAAAUUUAAUAACUUAACAAGAAAAUCUUAAUAUAAUUAUAUGUUAACCUAACACAAGAACACUACAAGAAAGAUUAAAAGAAAAAGAAGGAACUCGGCAAAUCUAAACCUCGCCUGUUUACCAAAAACAUCGCCUCUUGAUUAAAUAUAAGAGGUCCAGCCUGCCCAGUGACUCUGUUCAACGGCCGCGGUAUCCUAACCGUGCGAAGGUAGCGUAAUCACUUGUUCUUUAAAUGAGGACUAGUAUGAACGGCAUCACGAAGGUUUUACUGUCUCCUUUUUUUAAUCAGUGAAACUAAUCUCCUCGUGAAGAAACGAGGAUAAAUUUAUAAGACGAGAAGACCCUAUGGAGCUUUAAACUAUAUAUUAAUCGCUUAUUUUUUACUAAAUUUCAGAAUUUUACUUUUUAUUCUAGCCUUAUAGUAUCAAGUUUUAGGUUGGGGUGACCGCGGAGUAAAAAAUAACCUCCACAUUGAAAGGAUAUUUUCCUGAACAAAAAAUUACAAUUUUAUGCACCAAUAAAUUGACAUUAAUUGACCCAAUAUUUUGAUCAACGAACCAAGUUACCCUAGGGAUAACAGCGCAAUCUACUUCAAGAGCUCCUAUCGACAAGUAGGUUUACGACCUCGAUGUUGGAUCAGGGUAUCCUAGUGGUGCAGCCGCUACUAAAGGUUCGUUUGUUCAACGAUUAAAACCCU
This 1421-nucleotide ribosomal RNA is filed under the name Sphaenorhynchus prasinus. Its description in RNAcentral is "partial 16S ribosomal RNA". It matches the Rfam family "Bacterial large subunit ribosomal RNA", at positions 126 to 2597 of the family's 2925-position model. The record is from RNAcentral. Lineage: Eukaryota; Metazoa; Chordata; Amphibia; Anura; Hylidae.